This is a long non-coding RNA of Macaca mulatta (Rhesus monkey), 12866 nucleotides long. RefSeq lists it as uncharacterized. NCBI's taxonomy places the organism in Eukaryota, Metazoa, Chordata, Mammalia, Primates, Cercopithecidae. The record is from RefSeq and is a predicted model, not a curated record.
CCUACCCCUUAUGUUUUGAUCCUUUAGUGUGGAGUUAAACCAUACUGUAAAUUCCUUUACUGUACAGCACAGGUCUAGGCUCCUGUGUGCAUAGGGCCACUGUCACCAGAAGUCUUCUGUCCUGUUACUUUAAAAAUUCCACUCCAAGAUCUCCCCUGGCACUGAAGCUUGAUGUUACCAUUUUAUUCCAUUUUGUAAGCAGCGAUAUUCAUUCAAACUUCAAAACAAUCUUCUAAUCCCCCCAAAAUUUGUAAGUUCUUACUAUGUCAAGGCACUAACCCAUAUGCUAUAAUUGCCAUCACAAAAGCACUGAGUGCUGAACUUCCAUAAAAUAACAGGUGUGUUUCAGCAUUACUCCUGCCCCACCUUCACCAUCAUAGCACUAUGAUCACAGGGGAAUUCUUCUACCUUUAGCAAGAAAGGAGAAAUGGUCUCUUCUUUUCUACACUUCUGAAUCAAAUCAAAUUUAUGAAUUCACUAAUGCCCAGCAGAUAGAGAAGAUGGUACCACAGUUUACAUGGGAUCUCAGGUAUGCAGCAACAGUGGCAUUUACUACCAACUGUGCCAGCUGCCCCAGAAGGAGCAGUGUGACUUGGGCAGUUACCCUAUGCCAAGAACUAUACCAACAGCACCUCUCUUAUGUUUAACUAGUGAGAGGGAGGUUUCAGAAAGCGCUUACCCCUUCAAUCACAGGAAGAGGCCUAUCUGUGCCAUUGGAAGUAGAAUUAUACUUAAAGACAAUUUCAAAGCUCACCUUUUUCCUAAUCAAUUGCAUAAUGCUCACCCUCAAAUCGCAAGUUUGCUCCAAUAUGUUGCUGCUUCUAAACAUUUAUAGACAUCAGGAACUGAGUUUCAAUAUAAUUCCCCACAAGACCUUUUGUAAUGGAGUGUUAAUAUUUUUCAAAAGAAUAAUUCUGGGACAUUUCCCAGAUCAGCGUCUGGCUUUUUCAUAGUUCCCUGAGGAGAAGACAUACAAGGGGAAACAGUGGAAUAAUUACAUUUAUUAACAGUUUAUUUUAUGCAUGAUUUUUUUUGCACAUCUGCACAUAACCCACACUUUCUCAGGUACCAACUGGUUCUGCUUUCUUUUAUUUGUCUCUCAGUACCUGACACGAAUGACAAUACCUAGCAGUGCACCAUUCACACAUACCCAUACAUACAUAUCAGUGAGGAUUCAGUAAGAUUCAGUUCUAUAAUGCAUAUCUGUAGUUUGUUGGGUGGAACUCAUUUUUCCAAUACAUAAACUCUCCUUUUAUAAUGGAAUUAUCUUUGGGAACUGUCACUAGUCACACUAAUUACAAAUGGAGGAACAAUUAAAUAGGCAGAACAUGGGGAUGAGUUAAACAGCCCAGACAUAGAAAUAGAAAUACCAUGGGGAACAGUAGUUCUCUAGCUCCACCGAGGCACCAAAAGGAAACAAGUGCAACCUUGCAAUUGACUGUAAAAUGUGGGAAAUAUGCUGUUUUUCUAGAAAGAGGAUCUAUAAAAUAUCUAUAAAAUGCAUUGUGUUCUCAGAAAAGUUUCCUGUCCUUUUAUAUUAUCCUUUAAAUAGGUCAUUAUUGAAUUUCAAAAGACAUAACGGGAAUAUAGAUGAUAUUUGGUUAUCUAAAUCUGGGUAACAGUAAGUUGCAUUCUGUGUUUCAACAUAUAAUUUAUUAAGUUGCUGGAUAACCUUAAUGUGAAUAAAAUUAACUCUUCCCCAGGGCCAAAUGUACCCUCAUAAUGGAGACAUAUGUAGACAUAGACAAAUAUAAUUCAAGACACAAUAAUGUAAAUGACCUAAGUGGGGCAUAGAUGAACCCUUCUGGAAUUCUCUGAAGACAAUACUUGGUUGAAAUCAGAACAGGAAAAAAUUCAUGAAGAGGAUGGCAUAUAAGCAGAAUUUUGAAUCAUUGAUUGAGAUUUCAGUUGGUGGAAAUGAUGGGAAAAUGCAAUCCGAUUAGGCAAGUUUUAAUAUCAUAGAAGUAAAAUGAAAAAAGUAAAUGAGUUUGCCUCACCAGAAUGUGGGAUAAUCUUAGAAUAAAACACAGGCAAGGCAGUUUGGGAUAAACCUGUGUUUAAAAAAAAAAAAAAUAAAGAUGACACUUUCAUAUCUGAGCAACUAGCUAUAUAAAAUAUAAAGAAGUUAUAGAAGGGUGAGUGAAAAGCAAAAAAAAAAAUGUAUUUAAGUCAUAAAAUAUGUCUGCCAAACUGCAAGGAUAAUAAGUCCUACUAAUGGGAAAUAUCAUUGUUUUAUUACAUGUAUUAAUAGAUUUGCAGAUAUAAGUGUCAAGGUGUGAACUGAGAAAGAACUAUUCUGUAUAAAGGAGGAGAUAAAAUGCAUUUCCAUUUUUGAAAAAUUCAAGAAAAAAAUUCAGAGAAGUCUGAGAUUAAGUAUGUUUGGAAAGAGGGUCAAAGGAGGGAAAAUAUCAAGAAAAGUCAAAAAGAGACGUAAGGAUUUAAAAAAGAGAGCUACAUCUAACAAGAUAUUUUUAAGUUAUUUUCUCAAGGCCUUGUGAUAUUGGUAACUUUUACUGUCUCUCCUAUAUUUAGGACAUUCUAUGGUGGAUGCACAGCAGUGCUGAGUUCUGUAUCCACAGGGGCAGAAGUCUUAAGAGAAGUUCUGAAAGCUGGAGUCUGUGACGAUUUCACUUUACCCUGCAGAGGAGGACCUUAACCUGCAGGGAAAGAAGUCUGGAGUUCAUUGAGCAGAUAAUGAGAUGCCGUUGAAGUUUGGUUUGGUUUUGCUUGUUUAUUUUAAUCAAAUAUGUGCUUUAGAAAUAUACCUCUGGCAGAAAUCUAGAAAAUAUCUUGGAAGGGGAGAUUGGGAUGGAGAGAGACAGAUUAUGAGAACAUUGAAAUAAUCUGAUCCAGAAGAAUUGAUAACAAACAAAGUCAAAAGAAAUUCGCAUACCACUGAUGUGAGUAAUUUGAAAAAUGGGACAUCAAAAAUGGCUCCUGACAAUGAAAAUGCAAGCUACCUUCAGUAGUCUUAUUGUUAGUAGGGAUAUUAUAUUAAUACCUAUUUUAAAACUAUUUUAUGAAUAAGUUCAUUAAUUAAAUUAGAAACUACUAUUUUUCAUUACAAGAGAUAAUAUUAUUAUUCAAUGAACAAUAUUAUUGUUCAUUCAAUCAUUGUUCAUUCAAUGAACAAAAUUAAGUAAAACAAUGCUAUCUUAAAUUUGAUUAUAAAUAUCACUAGAAGCUCAUUUUUUUUCUUGUAUACACAUGUAUAUUUAGCUCUAUUUUCUUAAAAAUGCCUAGGAAUAUUGACAAGCAAUAACAAUGAGCACUCCAGAUCCUUGAUCAUUGUCUCUCAAUACCACUUGCACAUCAAUAGGAAACAAGAUCCAAUGUGAAGAUGGUUUCCACUGGUCCAAGAUGAAAUCCUCUAGCAGCAAGCAGCCACACUCAGAAUGUGGAGGAUUCAGCAAGAUGGAUGAUACAUUUUCUCCAACGAAUCAAUGGCAUACACAAAAUAAGAUCAGGAUGCUAUUGGUAGGAUUAAAAAAAAAUUAGGAAAUAUAAUGACUAAAUACAAUAUAUGGUCCUCAUUUAGAUCUAACUAGAACAACCUGACUGUUAAGAUUUAUCUUUGAUACAAUCAGGAAAACAUUGGAUGUUAUUAAAAUUGGCCCAUAUUUCUCUUAGGUGUACUGUAUCAUAAUAGGAAGAAGAAGAAGGAGAAAGAAAAAUAUCCUUCUAAGUUUAACAUGUAUUCUCAAGUUUUGUUUGUUUGUUUGUUUCUGAUGAAAUGAUAGGAUGUCUAGAGUUUGCCUUAAAGUACUCCAGGGAAUAAAGUGAAGCAAAAUGUGUGUGGAGGUGAGUUGGGGGCAGGAUAGAGGAGUGGGAGGGAAUCAGCUUAGGAAAAUGUUAAAAAUUAUUUGAAGCUGAGUGAUAUGUACAUGCAAUUUAUUAAACUGUUUUCUGUAACUUCAUGUAUGUCUAGAAAUUUGCACAAAAACAUGUUCAAAGAAAAGAUAACCCUGAGUUUUAAGCUACCAGGUAGACUAUUUUAAUAACCAUAUAGCUGAUCUCUCCACCUCAUGUAUCUCCCUAUUCAAUUCGUCGCCUAAACUGUUACCGUUUUCUUUGUUUUUUGAUCAUGUGACUUCUCAGCUUCCAUAGAUUUCACAGGGCUCACAUUGCUUGUCAGGUUAAGCAGAAACACAUAUAGGACUUGCCUUUGAAGUCCUUCUUGCUUUUUUUAAAUUUUCUUUUUUUUUUUUUGAAGUAUGAUUCACAAAACAUAAAAGUAUUAUUUUAAAAUGAACAACUCAAUGGCAUUUAGUAUAUUCACAGUGGUAUACAAACAGCACCUCUACUCUAGUUCCAAAACAUUUACAUAAUUCUAAAAGAAAACCCAUUAAAUAGUUACUUUAAAGUCCUUUUUAAUCUGGCCCAAAGUAGAGAGCUGGAUAUGUCCUGGAAUAUGGCCCGUACCUUUCUCAUUUCAUUUGUGCUCACAUUGGUUCUUCAGAAAUGCCUUCCUUCAUUACUGUCCUUAAUUAGAAAACCCAUUUAAGACCCAAACCAACUCCACAUCAUUCAUGAAGUCUCUGAAAUGACAUUGGUUUGAUCUACUUCUCUCAAUUCUAAUGCUGACAAAUCAAACAAUGAUGACAGACUAUGUUUUUAUGGAAUUACAAUGAACAUACAAUUUUAUUUCAUAAUUAUUUUUAAUGAUCAUAGAGUCAAAGAACCUUAGAAGACAGACUGUUCAAAUCCCAACCAGUUCUUUAGGCCAUUGCAUCUAAGGGGAGAAAAACUGAUUUUGGAAUCAGAGAAAAAUAGAGCUCACACAUCUGCACUAGGUAAAUGCUCUGGAAAGAGGCUAACUCCACAUUAAAUCAGUGUGGGAGAGAAUGUUACCAUGAUUGCCAAUACUGUCAAAGUUUCUAGUAAUAGAAAGUGUUCCAAAACAAUUUUUAAAACAAAUUGAAACAAAAUGUGCAGUGAGGCUGAAAAUAAUAAUGAGAAGAAUCUAUGAGUGUAAAUGUUCAGCAUUUGAAAGCUCUCCACAAGGUCGUUACUGGCAAAUGCAUUUAUGUUGGUUGGACCUGGCAUGUGAACUAGGCAGGAGAGCCAGAGAUUUCCAUCCCCACCUGGUUUUACUCCAUGGCUUCAUCAGUUUCAUGGUCCCCAUUCCUGCCAGGAGCAAAGCCUGGCACAGGUGAGAAUGAAUCACAGGAAUCAGGAAUACUGGAGCUGUAAAAAGCCUAUGUGCUUUAGAGGUAACCAAGCCCUAUUUCAUCAUUGUAUAGAUGAAGAAAUGAGGCUCUAAGAAAAGUAGACUGACUUCUGAAAUUUACUUAACUGGUAGAGCAAAGUGAGUCUUAGAAUCCAAAUAUUCUGGUGCUGAUUCCAAGGCUUUUUCUGCUGCAGAACCUAAAUUAUUUAUUUAUAUUCAUUAAAUUUUAAUUAACUUACUUAUUUCAUUUUUGUGUGUAAAGGGUUUUCUUUAAAAGUUCAGUUGGUGAAGGUCAAGGAAAUCAGACUCAAGGUAAGCAUCAAAUGUAUGUCUAUGUUUUCUAAGAAAGUCAAAGAUUUACUUAUAGGAAUUUGCUGUAGUUUCUAAGUCCUGUUAUUUCCAUAUACUAUAUUGCUAAGGGAGUAAAGAGGAAAGCAAUAAGGAAUAAGAUAAAAGCCCCACAUAUGAAAAGAGGGGACAGGGGUAAUGUUAUAAGAAAACCCACAGCCAAAGUCUAGGCUACAACAGACACACAUCCUGUCCUCAGGAUAGGUUUCAGAUCUGACUCCAGUUUCUGACUUUCCUAUAGAUAUGCACUCAAAUACAGGCCCGGUCGGGCUGAAGGCCACAGAGAGUGUCUAUGGUCUGUGCACCACCAUGACUCUUCAGUUAUGUGUUGUGUUAAUUUAGUAGGGCUGCUCUUACAAAGUUCCACAAACCGGGUGGCUGAAACAACAGAAAUGCACUGUCUCAUAGUUCUGAGGCUAGAAGUCCAAGAUCAAGAUGUCAGCAAGGUUGGUUCCUUCUGAGGGCCAUGAGCAACCUCUGUACUAUGCCUGUCUCCUAGCUUUUGGUGGUUUUCUGGCAACCUUUAGCAUUUCUUGGCUUAUAGACUCAUCACCCUUGCAUUAGUCAGCUCAAGCUGCCAGAACAAAAUACUACAGACUGGGUGACUUAAACCCCAGAAACAAAUUUCUCACAGAUCUGGAGACUGAAAAGUCUCAAGAUCAAGGUGUGGGUUGAUUCCAGUUCUGGUGCGGGCUGUAUUCUUCCUUGUGGAUGACUGCCAUCUCAUUGUGUCCUCACAUGGUAGUGGAAUGGUUGUAGGGCAGGGAAUGAGAGAGAGAGAGGGAGAAAGCGAGAGAGCCCUUUAUAUAGUGUCUCUUGUUUUCAGGACACAGAUCCUUAAAAGAACUAAGGAGGUGUGAAUACUGAGACAUCACCUAAACUGUCAGAUGUCCUGGUCCCAGUAGCUCCUGGUCCCAGGAGAGGGUCCCAGGAGAUGCUAUGGGUCAAAAUUCAAAUGUUAAAAUUCUACCUUGCAGUUCUUCAGAAUGUGAUCUUACUUGGAAAUGCAGUUGUUUGCAGAUGUAAUUAGUUAGGGAUUAGGGCCCUACCCUUAUGAACUCAUAUAACCUUCAAUACUUCAGUGUAGGACCUAUCUCCAAAUACAGUCCCCUCAAAGGUUAAGACUUUAGCAUGAAAAUUGUAGGGGUAUACAAUGCAACACAUCACAACUCUGAUCUCUGCCUUUGUGUUUACAUGGCAUUCUUCCAGUGCGAGUGUCUAUGUCUGUGUCCAAAUAGUCUCCUUUUUAUAAGGACUCCAGUCUUAUUGAAUUAUUGGUCCGCUUUAAUCUUAACUAAUUACAUCUGCAAACAACCCAAUUUCCAAAUAAGGUUACAUUCUGAAGUACUGCAAGGUAGAAUUUUAACAUUUGAAUUUUGACCCAUAGCAUGUAUAUACCCUCUCCUGCUACCAGGACAUCCAUCAAUUUAGGUGAGGUUUCAGUAUUCACUCCUCCAUAACAGACCCUGAAACAAGACGUUGUGUGCAUGAAGUUAUUUGGGAAACACAAGAACUUGAGCAAGGAGUGGGGAAGAGGGCGUGAUUAAGUCAGCCUCCACAAUGGUCACUUGGAGAAUCCCAUUAGCCCCAUGGGAAAAAUACAGGGAACAUUAUCCCUCCAGGGAGGAAAAGGAAUAGGGAUAUUUAAACACCGAUUUCUUUGUCUGUUGGUGGCCAGUGGCUGUUGUGUCCUCCCUCUCUCUUUUUCUUUCUUAAUUAUUUGCUUUAGCCUUUUCCAACUCUCCCUGGGGAGAAUUCAUAUUCAUGAGCAAAGACACAAAUCACCUUCAUGCAGCACUUCUACUCCUGCUCCCUUUGAGUACUAAUCUGGAUUCCUACCAGUCUUCAUUUGCCAUAUUCAGGACAAUACUUAGAAACAUUCAUGUUAAACCAGAUUCUCUCCGAAGUCUCACAUCUGGCAUCAUAAAAUCACCCGUAGGUGAGCGCUGUUCUGGAUACUAAGCUAUGUGUUCCCAACUUAGGAUCUUACUCUGGGAACUUGCACAGAAUCUCUCUACAUUCUUUAUCUGCCACUAAAACAGAAAAACAAGCAUGACAGAUAUGAAAAGUAUAGAUAAUUUGCUUAUUUAUAGCAUUUAGCAAUCUUAAUUUAUGUUUAUGUCUUAUCAGUGAACCCCUGCUAAUAGAGAUUCCAUUUUUGCUUAAAUUAUUUUGGUCUUAGACUGUGGCUUUCCAGGUCAUCUCUAAAUGUCCUUUUGUUCCCAGAACAUUUGGUCCAUGAACAUGACUGUAAUAAAAGCAAAACAAAAUAAUCAAUCCCAAACCCUCUAUCAAGCUUUAAAUAGACACAACAAAAAGCACAAAGACAAGAGUGAGAAUUACUAGCUCCUCAAAAAAUGUCAUUCCCCAAUUAUUUCAACUUGUCAUGGCAAUAAUAACAGGUAAGAUCUACAAAUGCCUGAAGCAGGAAGUGACAGGAGUGAGUGGAGAACUACGUCAACUGCUGCAAGUUUGAGGAAAAUGAAAACAGAGAAUUAGUCAUUGGGUUUAGCAAAAUGCAAGACAUAGAGAUCAUUAUAGGAGGUCUUUCAGUGAAGUGGUAGAAAGAAAAACUUGAUCAAAGUAAAUUGGGCAGAAAAGGGGAAGUGAGAAAGUAGAAAUAAUAAAUAUGAACAGUUCUUUUAAGGAGUAGAACUGUCAGGGGAGCAGAGAAAGUAAACUAUUUGGAGAGGGGUAUGAAGUCAAGGUCGAAAGCAUGUACAUGUACAAACACACACACACACACAUACACUUUUAAGACAGACAAUAACAAACCAUGUUUUUAAGCCAAUAGAAGUGAUUCUAGUAGACAACUGAUGAUAGUACAGGACAGAGGAGGGGGUAACUGGGCAUACAUUAUUAGGUUGGUGCAAAAGUAAUUGUAGUUUUGCCUUUCCUUUCAAUGGCAAAAACCAAUUACUUUUGCACCCAAUAAUAGUCAAAUAAAAAAGAUUAGUGGACAGGGGUCCUUUGACAGAAAAGGAACCCCAAGGCAAGAAAAGGCAGAUGGUGUAUACAAAUGAAGGUGGGUAUAUGGGAGUGAUGGGAACAAGAGAUUGUUGUCAUCGGAUUGCAUCUAUUUUAUUAAUAAAUACAACUCAUCCAGGGAGUGGGGGCAAAGGUGGGGAGUGAGAGAAAGAGAAACGAUUGGAGUUUUGAGAUGAAAAGUUGUAUUUGUUUCCUACCACCAUAGCAAAUUACCACAAAUUGAGAGGCUAAAAGCAACUGAAAUUUAUUCUGUGACAAUUCUAGAAGUCAGAAGUCCAAAAUCAAGGUGUUGGAAGGGCCACGCCUCCUCUGAAGACUCUGUGAAAGAAUCGUCUCUUGUCUAUCCCAGUCUUUGAUAGCUCCUGGCAUCCCUUGGUUUGUGGCAACGUAACUCUAAUUUGUUUUCGUUUUCACACGGCAGUCUUCUUUCCUGGGCCUCUGUGUUUCCAAUUUUCCUUUCCUAUGUCUUAUAAGGUCACCUGUCAUUGGAUAUAGUGCAUACCCUAAAUCCAGGAUCAUUUCAUUCUGAGAUCCUUAAUUAUAACUGCAAAAAGACCCUGUUUUCCAAAAAGGUCAAAUUCACAGGUACUGGGAGUUAGGACUUGGACGUAUUUUGGAGGACACCAUUCAGCCCACUACAAAAGUGUUAUAUCAUAAUCAUCCAGAAGAAUCAGGAAAGUUAUAUAACUAGGAAAGUGUAGAGAGACUGUCUCUCAAUGUCAAGGGUCCAUAUGAACUUUUGAUAAUAAUUUGAAAUAAGACCAUUCUACAUACUUUUGUGAUUUUCCUUGGCAAUAUUCUGCUGCUUGAAUGCCAACAUGAACUAAGUGGGUAAUUAAUUUAACCAAAGUUGAAAUUUUGUGAGGCAUGCAUAAUAAAUAGAAUGACCAAAAUAUUAUGAACCCUGAAUAGAAGUGGCUAUGUAGUGUCAAACUAUAGUGUAGUACAUAAAAGGUGAGGACAAGAGAAGAGAGAUGAAUUGUCAAAGUGUCAAUGGAUUAGAGGUCAUUAUAAGGUUAAAAAGUAAUUGAAAUGGGGAUGGGGGUGUUUGAAUGAGAAUGAGUAGAAAGUAAUGGCUAGGGGAUAGGAUACUUAAAAUUGAGAUUUUGGAGAUUAGGGUUUCUCAAUUCUAGCUGCCCGUUAGAAUAACCAGAGAUUCUGAAUUAAUUGUCUGGGUAGGGCCCUGGAAUUGGUAUUAUCCCAAGAAUUACUCACGUACAAUAUAUAUGUCCAUGGUCCUAUGAACAUGUAUGAAGGUAUUGUGGAGGAAAUAAAAAUCAGUGGAGGUGAAAUAAGAGAUCAGAAUAUUACAAAGGUCUCCCCAGGAGUAGGAGGAAAUGUGAAAAUCUCAGGGGAUAGGGGAUGAUUCUUGGGAGGAAGACAUGAUGUAGGGACCUCAGGACAGUGGAUAACUCUCUAGGAUAGUUUUUCGUGGCAAGCAGGAGUACCACAAAGCCUGAAAGAGAUGCUCAGGUCUAAGAAAAUCAUCCUUCAUAUCAUUAUUUGCUAUUUUAAAAUGGCACAUAUAUUUAAUAAAAUGAUCAUUUUCUAGGGAAUAACUUGACAAAAGAGCAGCUGGCUUAUACCUUAGAAUUAGGCCAGGAAUUACCAAACAAUUCAAGAGACUCUGACCUACCACCGCGUCUCCCAAGUUGCUUCUGUCAACCUGAAAUAAUCAAAAGGAUUAGAAUCUUAAAGUUUAUUUGAUUGAAAACCUGGGAAUUGCCAUCCAGGAGACACAGACUUCAGAUAAAUGAGGUCAGUGCCCCAAAGACAAAAGUUAAGUUCUUGCUUAUACAGGCAGAAAACAAAGAAGUUUAGUAAGAUUAUAACAUUUUAUAUGCAAGGCUGGUUUAUGAGUUACAACAAUUUAGUUAGUUUGUUUUCUUUUCUGUAGGGUUGGCUUUCAUGUUUUCCACUGUAAAAGUGUAUUUAACAUUUCAUCUUAAGACAACGUGAUAGCCACGAGGUCUUUGUGUGAGAAAGGUAAGAGGGAAGUUAAUCUAUAAUGAAGAUCAACGGUGAAGAGGGAAGGAGGCUUCCCUGGUGCCCUUUAGUCAUUUACAGCAUUUUACAAAACAACAUAGGUAAGGAAGAAGGCUAAUCUAUAAUCAGAGGAACACAGAUUACAGGUGCUUAGGUUGCAGCUGCCUGCCAUGUAACUCAGGCCUUGUAAUCACAUUCCUUUAAGGCUCAAAAUAAUUUAUAAUUCCAACAGCUUAGACUUUGAAUUACUUAUUUUCACACUUAAAACCUAAGACCACUGCCAACACCUCCCUCCGUCCUCCAGGAAGGGAGGACAGGGCUUAUGCUGGAUUGUUCAUUAUUAUUGCCACUGCCUCACUCUGUGGCUGCCAUUGUCAAAUGAUCCCAAGAACCAACUCUUGGGCCUCUCCAACUAUGUUGUCUUCUCUUCCUUAAACACUCCUUUAUCUUUAAGAGAUAGCCUGUGAUGACUUCAAAGAUAGCCCCCAAGUUCUUAUUCCCUUUCUUCUUAAAGUGGACUGGAUUUAGUGAUUUACUUCAAUUAAUUAUCUAAAGAUGGAAAUAAUGGAAUAAUACUUUCGAGAUAGAAUUAUACAAAGAUUUCAAGUGGGGCUCUCACACCGCCAAUCUUAUUUUGCCUGUCAGCUCUGCUUGUUUUUAGGUAGUCUUUUGCAGAAUGCAAGAGUUUUUUGGCAUUUAUAUGAUAUUGGAGCAGACAUACCUAUAUUCUUUAAUCCAAAUUAGCAAAGUGUCUAUCUUCAGCAGGCUAAGUCACCAACUCUUCUCUGUCUCAGUGCUGCUUACUUUAAUUAUCUGUUUGUUAUAUAUUCGUUUGUUUCCUCUAACAAGAUCUCUUUACAGGUAUGAAUGUCUAUCAUAAGCUACUGAAGGUCAAACACCACACUGUACAUUUUUCUUUUACGAUUUGUUGUCCAUAUAGUCAAGAUAUCAGUUGAGAAUGCAUCUUCAUGGGAGGACAAGGUAUAGAAGCUAUACCUUAAAAUAGCUUUGCUUUGAAUAUUUUAUAUAGCAUAAAAUUGCAUUCUAUUAAUUUUAAAUACCUUUAGACAAUAACCAGGCCAAUUGUUUGUACAGAAAAAAUACCCCCGAACCCAGUGUUUCUCUCCUUCUAAAGAUGGCUAAUUUUUCAUAUCUCAUCACAAGCAUGCCUGAGUGGAUGAAACAGAAGCAUAUGCAUAUAUAAUCAUCAUGUAUUUCAGUUCCCCAUUCUUGGUUGAAUGAAAUGAGGAUUUAGUUCAGUUUUGGGCAGGUGGUCUUGAGAGCCCCCAUUUAUUAUGAAGGUUUUCAUUUGUAAAGACAGAAGCCAUUGCCUAGUUUUUAAGUAAAACUGUCUGUUCAAAAGAUACCACAUUUUAUCAUUCACUAAACAUCAAUUGAUCUGGAGCACUAAUAAAAUAAUGUCUUAUAUUUACAUGGUUCUUUAUAUUUACAAACAUCUUUUCAUAUCCUUUCUUCUUUGACCUCCCAACAGAUGUGGAGCUAAAUAUACAGCAGGCUCUUCUAUUUCUGCUUUUCAAAUGAGGAAACAGAAUCGCAGUGAGGUUAAAUGACUUGUCCAGAUCCCACAUCGAGUAAGUUAUGGCACCAGAAAUUGAACAAGGACUUCUGAGGCCAUGACGUGACUGAUUGAUGUCCUCAUGCAUUAAAUCACCAGAAGGAAAGACUAUCAUUUACGCAUGAGCAAACUCAGCUUGCACCUGUCCCUGACAUAUACUGCUGCUGACUACCAAGCUGCAGUGCACGGCAACUUCCUUAAGUGUUUACUGAGCCCUACAGUAGAGGUGAACAAUUGGAAUGAAGAAUAUCAAGGAUUCCUGAAAGAAAAUCAAUUUUGAAUGAACUUUUCUUGCUUAGCCACAGCUCCAAUAUUCUGAGUCAUACUGUAUUUUUGUGGACUUCCAUUGACUUAAGUGACAGAAAUGGCAAUCGGGGGGACAGUGAAUUUCAUGAUAUGCAUUUAACCUAUGGCACUGCACAAAAUAAUUACUCAUGUACAAUUGUAAGGUAAAAAAAAAAAAUACUCAGGUCUCCUCAACUGUGAUAUUAAUCUUAGGGAAUGGGGAAAUCUCAUAGGGGCAUAAUGCCAUUUUAAUGAAGACUUUAGCUGUUCUUCAAAAAUAUUUGUAUCAUAAAAAAUAGUAAUUAUUUAUGAGUCACUCUCUCAGGAGGUCAGAUCCCUUCAAGGGUCAUGCCAUCAACCAAAAACUUCCUAAAUGGGAGCUUUUGGGAGUGUUCAUUGUUAUCUCUAGGAUCCUGUGGUUUGUAACUAGAAGACCCAACAAUAUUCCUUUUGCCUCACAAAAAUAUUUAUAAUAUUUUUACAUUUUUAAAACUCAUUGAUGCUUAAAGAAAG